Molecule: non-coding RNA, 441 nt
Filed under: Pongo abelii (Sumatran orangutan)
Lineage: Eukaryota; Metazoa; Chordata; Mammalia; Primates; Hominidae
Source: RNAcentral
AUCUUCGUGCAUAGGCAAACUCAUUGUAGCUAGACUGUACAAAGUAUAUCAAGAUAUGCCAAAUAUUGAGCUUAACUUCACCUGUUUGAGAGACGGUGUUUCUUUUAGCUUGCAACACCAUGAAAAAAUUACUGAGACACUAGGAAUGCUGUGAACUGAGAAAGUUUGGGACCUUUGGCAUAACUAAAUCCUUUAUUUAACAGUGUUGUAAACUACUUGUCAUGGGAUAACCAAAAUUAAACCUGGAAUCUCAGAAGAAACAAAUUGUUUGAAGAAGUUGGAUGUGCUUUUUUAAAAUUUUUCAUUCAACUAAAACUUUGUGAACUGUUUCUUGGUUGUGGUCUUCUCUAAAUUUUAAUCUUUGGCAUUCACUUCCAAAGUAUCCCUCACUAAACUUCAUAACAUUUAUUAUGUCUCUUCAUCAUUAAACUUUGAUGAAUU